UUGAUCGCCGGUCUGGGCCGGUACUCAAUGUCGAAUUCUCCGAGCUCAAUGGCCCAUUUGGUGAUCCGACCCGCACGAUCUGAUCUCUGCAGGAUCUGCUUGACCGGCUGGUCGGUCAGCACAGCCACUGUAUGAGCUUGGAAGUACAGUCGGAGCCUCCGAGCCGAGAUGACCAAAGCAUAGGCAGUCUUCUCAAGCUUGGAGUAUCGGGUCUCGGCG
RNAcentral lists this long non-coding RNA (219 nucleotides) under Phoenix dactylifera (date palm). Its description in RNAcentral is "long non-coding RNA (PDAC_LNC017921)". The record is from RNAcentral. Lineage: Eukaryota; Viridiplantae; Streptophyta; Magnoliopsida; Arecales; Arecaceae.